Molecule: ribosomal RNA, 468 nt
Filed under: Guibemantis pulcher (Tsarafidy Madagascar frog)
Lineage: Eukaryota; Metazoa; Chordata; Amphibia; Anura; Mantellidae
Description: partial 16S ribosomal RNA
Rfam family: Bacterial large subunit ribosomal RNA
Source: RNAcentral
AAUCACUUGUUCUUUAAAUAAGGACUUGUAUCAACGGCACCACGAGGGUUAAACUGUCUCCUUUUUCAUAUCAGUGAAACUAAUCUCCCCGUGAAGAAGCGGGGAUAAUUUUAUAAGACGAGAAGACCCCAUGGAGCUUUAAACCCAUCUACACUCCGCUUAACCCUACCUUUAAACCUCUCGGAUCCUGUAUGUUCUGGUUUUAGGUUGGGGUGACCGCGGAGCAUAAACUAACCUCCACAAUGAAUAAAUUUUUUUCUUUAUCUAAGAUUAACACCUCUAAGAAUUAGUAUUCUAACAUAAAAUGAUCCGAUAUUCGAUCAACGAACCAAGUUACCCUGGGGAUAACAGCGCAAUCUACUUCAAGAGCCCCUAUCGACAAGUAGGUUUACGACCUCGAUGUUGGAUCAGGGUAUCCCAGUGGUGCAGCAGCUACUAAAGGUUCGUUUGUUCAACGAUUAAAACCCU